GACGAACGCUGGCGGCGUGCUUAACACAUGCAAGUCGAACGGAAAGGCCCUGCUUGCAGGGUACUCGAGUGGCGAACGGGUGAGUAACACGUGGGUGAUCUGCCCUGCACUUCGGGAUAAGCCUGGGAAACUGGGUCUAAUACCGGAUAGGAGCCAUUUUUAGUGUGAUGGUUGGAAAGUUUUUUCGGUGUAGGAUGAGCUGGCGGCCUAUCAGCUUGUUGGUGGGGUAAUGGCCUACCAAGGCGGCGACGGGUAGCCGGCCUGAGAGGGUGGACGGCCACAUUGGGACUGAGAUACGGCCGAGACUCCUACGGGAGGCAGCAGUGGGGAAUAUUGCACAAUGGGCGCAAGCCGGAUGCAGCGACGCCGCGUGGGGGAUGACGGCCUUCGGGUUGUAAACUCCUUUCGCUAGGGACGAAGCUUUUUGUGACGGUACCUAGAUAAGAAGCACCGGCUAACUACGUG
This 465-nucleotide ribosomal RNA is filed under the name uncultured bacterium. RNAcentral describes it as "partial 16S ribosomal RNA". It matches the Rfam family "Bacterial small subunit ribosomal RNA", at positions 28 to 507 of the family's 1533-position model. The record is from RNAcentral.